Molecule: ribosomal RNA, 490 nt
Filed under: uncultured bacterium
Lineage: Bacteria
Description: partial 16S ribosomal RNA
Rfam family: Bacterial small subunit ribosomal RNA
Source: RNAcentral
AGUGAACGCUGGCGGCAGGCCUAACACAUGCAGGUCGAACGGCAGCACGAGAGAGCUUGCUCUCUGGGUGGCGAGUGGCGGACGGGUGAGGAAUGCAUCGGAAUCUGCCCAUUUGUGGGGGAUAACCUCGGGAAACCGGGACUAAUACCGCAUACGACCUACGGGUGAAAGCAGGGGAUCUUCGGACCUUGCGCAGAUGGAUGAGCCGAUGCCGGAUUAGCUAGUUGGAGGGGUAAAGGCCCACCAAGGCGACGAUCCGUAGCUGGUCUGAGAGGAUGAUCAGCCACACUGGGACUGAGACACGGCCCAGACUCCUACGGGAGGCAGCAGUGGGGAAUAUUGGACAAUGGGCGCAAGCCUGAUCCAGCCAUGCCGCGUGUGUGAAGAAGGCCUUCGGGUUGUAAAGCACUUUUGUUGGGAAAGAAAAGCAGCCGGUUAAUACCCGGUUGUCAUGACGGUACCCAAAGAAUAAGCACCGGCUAACUUCGUG